RNAcentral lists this ribosomal RNA (319 nucleotides) under uncultured eukaryote. RNAcentral describes it as "partial 18S ribosomal RNA". It matches the Rfam family "Eukaryotic small subunit ribosomal RNA", at positions 1470 to 1796 of the family's 1831-position model. The record is from RNAcentral.
CCCCUAGAUGUUCUGGGCCGCACGCGCGCUACACUGAACAGUUCAACAAGUCUUAACCUUGGCCGAUAGGUCUGGGUAAUCUUUGAACGCUGUUCGUGAUUGGGAUAGACCUUUGCAAUUAUGGGUCUUCAACGAGGAAUUCCUAGUAAACGCAAGUCAUCAGCUUGCAUUGAUUACGUCCCUGCCCUUUGUACACACCGCCCGUCGCACCUACCGAUUGAAUGGUCCGGUGAAAUCUCGGACGGCGGCUUGGUCGCUUGCGUCCGACUGCUGAAACUUGAUUAAACCAUAUCAUUUAGAGGAAGGUGAAGUCGUAACA